This is a non-coding RNA of Caenorhabditis elegans, 21 nucleotides long. Lineage: Eukaryota; Metazoa; Nematoda; Chromadorea; Rhabditida; Rhabditidae. The record is from Ensembl.
UGAAGCGUAUUUAAGAUUGUU